This 441-nucleotide long non-coding RNA is filed under the name Gallus gallus (chicken). RNAcentral's name for it is "long non-coding RNA NONGGAT005014". Lineage: Eukaryota; Metazoa; Chordata; Aves; Galliformes; Phasianidae. The record is from RNAcentral.
AUGGGAUUAGAGGUCUGGAACUAGGACAAGAAUAACUUUUUCCUACAUGAAAUGACUUCUCUGGGAGGGAAACAGAACAGUAGAAAGUUACGAGUCUAUCUGCUUGUUAGACAAGACUCAUUAAUGUCCAAGGCUAUCUGUAGGAUACAGAUAUGAUGUUGUCUAUUGCCAGCUGCCUUGCUCCGAGCUCUGGUUGGAAUCUGUGAACUUCAGAGGCAAAGAUGGCAGUGUGGGAGGAGUGUGUGGCAGACAGAGGUACAUUACUUCCUACAGAAGAUAAGUUGCCUUCAGGCUCUUCACAUGCUGGCUUUCCACAAUGAGAUUGUUCCAACCACAGUGUUCUUCAAGACAGUUCAUUUAGAAGGCACAUCACUGGACCAGUACUGCAACAGAGAUGGAUAGGGACUAGCUGCAAGCAGUGUUGCACCCAUUGCAGUUUUG